UACAGAGGGUGCGAGCGUUGUCCGGAAUCACUGGGCGUAAAGGGCGCGUAGGUGGCCUGAUAAGUAGGGGGUGAAAUCUCGAGGCUCAACUUCGAGGCUGCCUCCUAAACUGUCAGGCUUGAGCAGAGUAGAGGCAGGUGGAAUUCCCGGUGUAGCGGUGGAAUGCGUAGAGAUCGGGAAGAACAUCGGUGGCGAAGGCGGCCUGCUGGACUCUUGCUGACACUGAGGCGCGACAGCGUGGGGAGCAAACAGG
Molecule: ribosomal RNA, 253 nt
Filed under: uncultured bacterium
Lineage: Bacteria
Description: partial 16S ribosomal RNA
Rfam family: Bacterial small subunit ribosomal RNA
Source: RNAcentral